This 480-nucleotide ribosomal RNA is filed under the name uncultured bacterium. Its description in RNAcentral is "bacterial SSU rRNA". It matches the Rfam family "Bacterial small subunit ribosomal RNA", at positions 44 to 499 of the family's 1533-position model. The record is from RNAcentral.
GUGCCUAACACAUGCAAGUCGUACGAGAAAGUUGGCUUCGGCCGAUGAGUAAAGUGGCGCACGGGUGAGUAACGCGUGGAUAAUCUACCCCUCAGUUGGGAAUAACUCAUCGAAAGGUGGGCUAAUACCGAAUAAUACUGCAUGACUUCUGUUGGUGUAGUCAAAGAUGGCCCCUGCUUGCAAGCUAUCGCUGAAGGAUGAGUCCGCGUACCAUUAGCUAGUUGAUAGGGUAAUGGCCUACCAAGGCAACGAUGGUUAGCUGGUCUGAGAGGAUGAUCAGCCACACUGGAACUGAGACACGGUCCAGACUCCUACGGGAGGCAGCAGUGAGGAAUAUUGCGCAAUGGGGGCAACCCUGACGCAGCAACGCCGCGUGAGUGAGGAAGGUUUUCGGACCGUAAAGCUCUGUCGAGCGGGAAGAAAUGCAUAGUGGCUAAUAUCCAUUAUGCUUGACGGUACCGCUAAAGGAAGCACCGGCUA